RNAcentral lists this microRNA precursor (176 nucleotides) under Oryza rufipogon (brownbeard rice). RNAcentral describes it as "MIR807 microRNA precursor family". It matches the Rfam family "MIR807 microRNA precursor family". Lineage: Eukaryota; Viridiplantae; Streptophyta; Magnoliopsida; Poales; Poaceae. The record is from Rfam by way of RNAcentral.
AACUACACUAUCGAUGAAUGAAUUCACCCGUGAGAUGACGUGGUUGUUCUAUCUAGGAUGAGGAUAUGGCAUCCUAUUAAUUUCAUGCGAUGACCGGUAAUAGGAUGCCAUGUCCUCGUUCUAGGUGAAACAACCACGUCAUCUCGCGGGUGAAUCCAUUCAUCGAUAGUGUGGUU